GGGGUGAGUUGUGAUUGGCCUGCACGGGUCACGGCAAUCUCAUCUUCUGCCAACGGAAACUUGCAUUUGAAAACAGGCUGCUGGAGUUGUGUUGGCUGCCUUGUGACAAUGAGCUGUGACAUUGCUGGCACACGGCGAAUGAGGAGUAUCAGCCCUCUCUGAUUGGAAGAAAGAGGUGGACACCUGAUCCCUGAACCAGCGACACAAAGAAGGUCGGGCACAUGCCAAGGCUAUAUUUUCCUUCCUCCCCUGCAACUGGGUGUGACCAUCUGAUUUAUUUCCUCCCAGUGAAAGCAAACAUGCAGUGAGAAAAAGAGGCAGGAGGACAGAAGAAAGAGUUUACUUUGUACUCUGCUUGGAGGGAUGAUACGACCAGACUGUGGUUUUACAAGCUAGAACCGUAGCUGCUGUGUGUGGGCUGGAAUGCCGGUGUAGCUCAUGCUGGUUCACAAAAUCAUUACCCACAAUAACUUGGAAGGCACAAACAUAUAUCCAGAUUAAGGGGAUACAGCUGUAAAAAUGAAGGAGGUCAGUGUAGUUCACUGCUCCUUGCUGCAUCUUUCAAGAAGGAAUCACAAAGAGAUGAGCUCAGGUAAGAACUGGCCGCUCUGUAGGCAGAAAUGGAAGGAAAAACGGCCAGGCGCAGUGGCUCACUGCGCAAAUUUGCAGAUUUGCAAAUCCAGUCCAGGAACCAAAGAACAAGCCACCAAAAAACAGCUAAAGGAGUAGCCACUGGAGCCUGGAACCAAGCCUACAUGACACUUACAAAAAUUUGAUUUUCCGCAGGAAAAAAAAAAAAUAUUUUGACUCCUACAUUUUUUGGGACUUCAUUAGCAAGAUGUGAAAUGGACGACACCAAGCUGUUUGCCUAAAAUAAUGUCCCGAGCCUGAACUGGCCUGGAUGUUCCUCGAGAUUAAAAUAGAAACUUGUUCUUGCUAACAGAAAACAGUUUAGAAAUCAGAAGAGAUAGUGAGGUCGCCCUGCCACAGAACUUCCCAUUAAAACUUUGAAGUUGUGGAAAC
Molecule: long non-coding RNA, 1023 nt
Organism: Lemur catta (Ring-tailed lemur)
Lineage: Eukaryota; Metazoa; Chordata; Mammalia; Primates; Lemuridae
Exons: 6
Source: RefSeq, a predicted model, not a curated record